GACGAACGCUGUCGGCGUGCUUAACACAUGCAAGUCGAACGGAAAGGCCCUGCUUUUGUGGGGUGCUCGAGUGGCGAACGGGUGAGUAACACGUGAGUAACCUGCCCUUGACUUUGGGAUAACUUCAGGAAACUGGGGCUAAUACCGGAUAGGAGCUCCUGCUGCAUGGUGGGGGUUGGAAAGUUUCGGCGGUUGGGGAUGGACUCGCGGCUUAUCAGCUUGUUGGUGGGGUAGUGGCUUACCAAGGCUUUGACGGGUAGCCGGCCUGAGAGGGUGACCGGCCACAUUGGGACUGAGAUACGGCCCAGACUCCUACGGGAGGCAGCAGUGGGGAAUAUUGCACAAUGGGCGGAAGCCUGAUGCAGCAACGCCGCGUGCGGGAUGACGGCCUUCGGGUGGUAAACCGCUUUCGCCUGUGACGAAGCGUGAGUGACGGUAAUGGGUAAAGAAGCACCGGCUAACUACGU
RNAcentral lists this ribosomal RNA (467 nucleotides) under uncultured bacterium. RNAcentral describes it as "partial 16S ribosomal RNA". It matches the Rfam family "Bacterial small subunit ribosomal RNA", at positions 28 to 506 of the family's 1533-position model. The record is from RNAcentral.